This 408-nucleotide ribosomal RNA is filed under the name uncultured Methylomirabilota bacterium. RNAcentral's name for it is "bacterial SSU rRNA". It matches the Rfam family "Bacterial small subunit ribosomal RNA", at positions 1027 to 1434 of the family's 1533-position model. Lineage: Bacteria; Methylomirabilota (SeqCode). The record is from RNAcentral.
CGUGGAGACAGGUGGUGCAAGGCUGUCGUCAGCUCGUGUCGUGAGAUGUCGGGUUAAGUCCCGCAACGAGCGCAACCCUCACCUCUUGUUGCCAUCAGGUCAUGCUGGGCACUCUAGAGGAACUGCCCCGGUCAACGGGGAGGAAGGCGGGGAUGACGUCAAGUCGUCAUGCCCCUUACGUCCUGGGCUACACACGUGCUACAAUGGCCGGUACAAAGGGAUGCCACACCGCGAGGUAGAGCUAAACCCAAAAAGCCAGUCUAAGUUCAGAUUGGAGUCUGCAACUCGACUCCAUGAAGGAGGAAUCGCUAGUAAUCGCGUAUCAGCACGACGCGGUGAAUACGUUCCCGGGCCUUGUACACACCGCCCGUCACACCACGAAAGCCUGCUGUACUCGAAGUCGCUGAG